This 2082-nucleotide long non-coding RNA is filed under the name Prunus persica (peach). RNAcentral describes it as "long non-coding RNA (PPER_LNC004766)". The record is from RNAcentral. Lineage: Eukaryota; Viridiplantae; Streptophyta; Magnoliopsida; Rosales; Rosaceae.
AAGAAAACAAUAAUGAAACAAGUGUAACAAAAUGUAAUGGAAGCAUAUAAAGUCUUUAAUAAUGAAUUUAGAGACAAUAAAUACACAUGUAAGUGACCAAAUAAAGAAUAGAAAAAUUAAAAACCACAUGUCAUUGACUAAGUAAGUAAUUGACACAAUUUAAAAUAUAAUACCACCCUUAAAUUUGGAAUAGAUAAUAAUAAACAUGCAAAUUAAAUAACAAUAAUGAAUGAGAAUAACUUACUAUGAACUUGUGGGGAAAUUGAGGUUGAUAGAUGUUGAGAAAAAUAUGAGCAUUAUGUUUUGUUUUGGAGAGAUGUUGAGAAACAAGAGACGGCAUGGGACCAUUUGAUUUUAUUUGUAUAUAUAGAAAUAUGACUACAACUAAUUAGUUAGGUGAGUGGUUGAAUGGUGGGGUGAAUGAGUAGGUUGAAACGUGGUGAAUAGUUGAAAAGUUGAAACUUGAAAACCAGCUCGCAAGUAGUGUAUUAUAUAUAUUAGAUUACAUAGGUUAUAAUCACAAACUUAUGACCAGCGUGGUGGUUGAGAGACUUCAAAUUUCGGAGGGGAGCUGGGUUCGAGCCCCAGCGUGCGCAAGAGUGAGUGAGUUUAAGUGUUUAAUUUUUGAAAGUUCAUAUCGCGAUAUUAUCGAUAAUAUCGCGAUAUAUUGACCAUUUGAAGUUGCCAAUUGAACGAAAAUAUCGUAGCCGAAAUAUCGUCGAAAUUAUCGCGGAAAUUAUCGAUAUAUUGACGAUAUAUGAAUGGAUUUGUGCGAAAAUAUCGCUGGACAAAAAAAACGAUAAUUUCGCCUAUAUUUCGGCGAAAUUAUCGAUUUUAAAUACCUUGAUUAGGAUACACUAGGGGCGGAUAAAGUAUUGGCCCCUAUUAAUGUUGUUUGGGGCGGAUAGAAAGGCCUCUAAGGACACCUCCAACGUAGGCCCUUUUUUAGGGGUUUGGACCUCCAGUGCGUGCCAAGCAGUUCGGGUAAGUUCUGGGUUCCACCAGCCCGAGCAAGCUUAAAUAUUGAUUCUGCCUGGGCUUCAGUCCGAAGGCGCUGACGUCAGCGAGCAAAAAAAAAAAAUUAAAAAAAUUGAAAAAAAAUUGGAAAAAAUAAAACCAAAAAACAAAAAAUUAUGAAUGUUUUCCCUAUAAAUACAUAACAAUUUUAUUCACUUUCCCUAUAAAUACAUAACAAAUUUAUAUUUUGUUGCAUAUUCUUUUUUUUUCUUGCCCUUGCCCUAGCCUUUUGGAGUGGAACCAAAAAAUGCAAGGCUGCCACUAUUCAUGUGAAUAGUAGCAACCCUUGCCUUGCCUUAGCCUUAGCCUUAGCCUUUUGGGGUGGACAUGCUCUAAUAGGUGGGUGUGAAACACCUAUCAUUUAAAUUGAUAAGGGGCGUAAAUAAGCGCCCCUAAUAGUUUUUUUUUUAUUUUUAUGAAAAGGAAUUUCAUUCAAUAACCAGAUAGCAUAAUACACGGAGAAGAAAACAAAAGGAUGUGCAAGUUUGGGCCUCUGUAAAAAACUUUUAGCAUAAAAAACCUCCAAAAAAGGGGGAAAAUCCGCCAAAGGAAAAAGAGCACCUCUCACUUGCCAUCAAACAUAAAGAUCAACCAUUAGCUUCUAGAUUUGCAGAAAGAAAAGGAGUUAGCCAUAAUGGCUCCUCCUCAAUCCAUGUGAAAAAACUAGCAUUCCGAGUGCCAUAUUGAGCUAGCUCAUGGGCAACCUUGUUACCUUCUCGUCAUUGCCAAUUACAAGAGAAAGAUCUAAACCACCCCUGCAUCUCCUUGAUAUCUUCCACUAGAUUCCCUUCAGCUUCAAAACACUCUUCAUUAGAGUUGAUUCUAUCUACCACCCCCUGCGCAUCCAUUUCUAGCACUAUGUCACUGACAGGACCCGCCCCGAAUUUUCCAAAACCUGAGACGAAUCUUGUGGAAAUUCCCGACAUCACCCCGAUGUCGGGCCCACUUCUAAAACUAUAUCCUUUUUCCCAAAAAAGGAAUAAGAGUACUAGACUUUCUGCCGAAAUUUCGGCAGAGUCUCCCCUGUAAAUUGGACAUUUCCCAAAAUUUCAACUGCACAAAAAC